GAUAAACGCUGGCGGCGUGCUUAACACAUGCAAGUCGAACGAAGUUUUUCUUUCGGGAGGACCUUAGUGGCGGACGGGUGAGUAACGCGUGGGUAACCUGCCCUGUACAGGGGGACAACAGCUGGAAACGGCUGCUAAUACCGCAUAGGCCCUUAGCACUGCAUGGUGCAUAGGGAAAAGGAGCAAUCCGGUACAGGAUGGACCCGCGUCUGAUUAGCCAGUUGGCAGGGUAACGGCCUACCAAAGCGACGAUCAGUAGCCGAUCUGAGAGGAUGUACGGCCACAUUGGGACUGAGACACGGCCCAGACUCCUACGGGAGGCAGCAGUGGGGAAUAUUGCACAAUGGAGGAAACUCUGAUGCAGCGACGCCGCGUGAGUGAAGAAGUAUUUCGGUAUGUAAAGCUCUAUCAGCAGGAAAGAAAAUGACGGUACCUGACGAAGAAGCACCGGCUAAAUACGUG
This 462-nucleotide ribosomal RNA is filed under the name uncultured bacterium. Its description in RNAcentral is "partial 16S ribosomal RNA". It matches the Rfam family "Bacterial small subunit ribosomal RNA", at positions 28 to 507 of the family's 1533-position model. The record is from RNAcentral.